CCUAUGGGUGGCAGCAGUGGGGAAUUUUGGACAAUGGGCGCAAGCCUGAUCCAGCCAUUCCGCGUGAGUGAAGAAGGCCUUCGGGUUGUAAAGCUCUUUCGCAAGGGAAGAAAACUUAUCCUCUAACAUAGGAUGAGGUUGACGGUACCUUGAUAAGAAGCACCGGCUAACUACGUGCCAGCAGCCGCGGUAAUACGUAGGGUGCGAGCGGUCGUCGGAAUUACUGGGCGUAAAGCGUAAGCAGGCUGUGAAAUCCCCGAGCUCAACGUGGGAACUGCGUUUGAAACUACAAGACUAGAGUAGGUCAGAGGGGGGUAGAAUUCCACGUGUAGCAGUGAAAUGCGUAGAGAUGUGGAGGAAUAUCAAUGGCGAAGGCAGCCCCCUGGGAUCAUAUUGACGCUCAUGCACGAAAGCGUGGGGAGCAAACAGGAUUAGAUACCCGAGUAGUC
Molecule: ribosomal RNA, 449 nt
Filed under: uncultured bacterium
Lineage: Bacteria
Description: partial 16S ribosomal RNA
Rfam family: Bacterial small subunit ribosomal RNA
Source: RNAcentral